GCCAGGCGCGGUGGCGCUUGCCUGUAGUCCCAGCUACUCGCUGGGAGGCUGAGGUGGGAGGAUCGCUUGAGCCCAGGAGUUCUGGGCUGUAGUGCGCUAUGCCGAUCGGGUGUCCGCACUAAGUUCGGCAUCAAUAUGGUGACCUCCCGGGAGCAGGGGACCACCAGGUUGCCUAAGGAGGGGUGAAACGGCCCAGGUCGGAAACGGAGCAGGUCAAAACUCCCAUGCUGAUCAGUAGUGGGAUCGCGCCUGUGAAUAGCCACUGCACUCCACACUCCAGCCUGGGCAACAUAGCGAGACCCCAUCUCU
This 309-nucleotide signal recognition particle RNA is filed under the name Aotus nancymaae (Ma's night monkey). RNAcentral describes it as "Metazoan signal recognition particle RNA (ENSANAG00000010768.1)". It matches the Rfam family "Metazoan signal recognition particle RNA". Rfam says of the family: The signal recognition particle (SRP) is a universally conserved ribonucleoprotein. Lineage: Eukaryota; Metazoa; Chordata; Mammalia; Primates; Aotidae. The record is from RNAcentral.